RNAcentral lists this ribosomal RNA (568 nucleotides) under Streptomyces sp. 434E06. Its description in RNAcentral is "bacterial SSU rRNA". It matches the Rfam family "Bacterial small subunit ribosomal RNA", at positions 93 to 674 of the family's 1533-position model. Lineage: Bacteria; Bacillati; Actinomycetota; Actinomycetes; Kitasatosporales; Streptomycetaceae. The record is from RNAcentral.
UAGUGGCGAACGGGUGAGUAACACGUGGGCAAUCUGCCCUGCACUCUGGGACAAGCCCUGGAAACGGGGUCUAAUACCGGAUACGAGUUUCACAGGCAUCUGUGAUUCUGGAAAGCUCCGGCGGUGCAGGAUGAGCCCGCGGCCUAUCAGCUUGUUGGUGAGGUAACGGCUCACCAAGGCGACGACGGGUAGCCGGCCUGAGAGGGCGACCGGCCACACUGGGACUGAGACACGGCCCAGACUCCUACGGGAGGCAGCAGUGGGGAAUAUUGCACAAUGGGCGAAAGCCUGAUGCAGCGACGCCGCGUGAGGGAUGACGGCCUUCGGGUUGUAAACCUCUUUCAGCAGGGAAGAAGCGAGAGUGACGGUACCUGCAGAAGAAGCGCCGGCUAACUACGUGCCAGCAGCCGCGGUAAUACGUAGGGCGCAAGCGUUGUCCGGAAUUAUUGGGCGUAAAGAGCUCGUAGGCGGCUUGUCCGCGUCGGUUGUGAAAGCCCGGGGCUUAACCCCGGGUCUGCAGUCGAUACGGGCAGGCUAGAGUUCGGUAGGGGAGAUCGGAAUUCCUGGU